RNAcentral lists this ribosomal RNA (465 nucleotides) under uncultured Klebsiella sp. Its description in RNAcentral is "bacterial SSU rRNA". It matches the Rfam family "Bacterial small subunit ribosomal RNA", at positions 338 to 795 of the family's 1533-position model. Lineage: Bacteria; Pseudomonadati; Pseudomonadota; Gammaproteobacteria; Enterobacterales; Enterobacteriaceae. The record is from RNAcentral.
CCUACGGGAGGCUGCAGUGGGGAAUAUUGCACAAUGGGCGCAAGCCUGAUGCAGCCAUGCCGCGUGUGUGAAGAAGGCCUUCGGGUUGUAAAGCACUUUCAGCGGGGAGGAAGGCGUUAAGGUUAAUAACCUUGGCGAUUGACGUUACCCGCAGAAGAAGCACCGGCUAACUCCGUGCCAGCAGCCGCGGCAAUACGGAGGGUGCAAGCGUUAAUCGGAAUUACUGGGCGUAAAGCGCACGCAGGCGGUCUGUCAAGUCGGAUGUGAAAUCCCCGGGCUCAACCUGGGAACUGCAUUCGAAACUGGCAGGCUAGAGUCUUGUAGAGGGGGGUAGAAUUCCAGGUGUAGCGGUGAAAUGCGUAGAGAUCUGGAGGAAUACCGGUGGCGAAGGCGGCCCCCUGGACAAAGACUGACGCUCAGGUGCGAAAGCGUGGGGAGCAAACAGGAUUAGAUACCCCUGUAGUC